RNAcentral lists this ribosomal RNA (445 nucleotides) under uncultured soil bacterium. Its description in RNAcentral is "bacterial SSU rRNA". It matches the Rfam family "Bacterial small subunit ribosomal RNA", at positions 26 to 518 of the family's 1533-position model. The record is from RNAcentral.
AGAACGAACGCUGGCGGCAUGCCUAAUACAUGCAAGUCGAACGAACACUUCGGUGUUAGUGGCGCACGGGUGCGUAACGCGUGGGAAUCUGCCCUUGGGUUCGGAAUAACAGUUGGAAACGACUGCUAGUACCGGAUGAUAUCGAAAGAUCAAAGAUUUAUCGCCCAGGGAUGAGCCCGCGUAGGAUUAGCUAGUUGGUGAGGUAAAGGCUCACCAAGGCGACGAUCCUUAGCUGGUCUGAGAGGAUGAUCAGCCACACUGGGACUGAGACACGGCCCAGACUCCUACGGGAGGCAGCAGUAGGGAAUAUUGGACAAUGGGCGCAAGCCUGAUCCAGCAAUGCCGCGUGAGUGAUGAAGGCCUUAGGGUUGUAAAGCUCUUUUACCCGGAUGAUAAUGACAGUACCGGAGAAGUAAGCUCCGGCUAACUCCGUGCCAGCAGCCGC